Molecule: unclassified non-coding RNA, 378 nt
Filed under: plant metagenome
Description: partial contains 5.8S ribosomal RNA, internal transcribed spacer 2, and large subunit ribosomal RNA
Rfam family: 5.8S ribosomal RNA (bases 1-105)
Source: RNAcentral
GAAAUGCGAUAAGUAAUGUGAAUUGCAGAAUUCAGUGAAUCAUCGAAUCUUUGAACGCACCUUGCGCUCCUUGGUAUUCCUUGGAGCAUGCCCGUUUGAGUAUCAUGAAAUCUUCAAGGUAAAUCUUUUGUUAACUCAAUUGGUUUCUACUUUGGUAUUGGAGGUCUUUGCAGCUUCACACCUGCUCCUCUUUGUUCAUUAGCUGGAUCUCAGUGUUAUGCUUGGUUCCACUCGGCGUGAUAAGUUAUCUAUCGCUGAGGACACUGUAAAAGGUGGCCAAGGUAAAUGCAGAUGAACCGCUUCUAAUAGUCCAUUGACUUGGACAAUACUUUUAUGAUCUGAUCUCAAAUCAGGUAGGACUACCCGCUGAACUUAAGC